ACUUUUAUAGUGUUAACAUAAACACAUUACUCUUUCAUAGUAAAAAUAAGAAGUUUUUCUUUUCAAGUA
Molecule: transfer RNA, 69 nt
Filed under: Allopsontus sp. 2 JZ-2014
Lineage: Eukaryota; Metazoa; Arthropoda; Insecta; Archaeognatha; Machilidae
Description: tRNA-Glu
Source: RNAcentral